RNAcentral lists this unclassified non-coding RNA (2281 nucleotides) under Hevea brasiliensis (rubber tree). The record is from RNAcentral. Lineage: Eukaryota; Viridiplantae; Streptophyta; Magnoliopsida; Malpighiales; Euphorbiaceae.
AAGAAAAAUGAUAAAAAAAAAAAAGCAAGAUUCUUCUUUGUACUGAGAGAAGCAGAGAGAUCGUCCAAUUGAUCUUUGAUUGGCUGUCAACAGAGUCAACGUAAUGUGUCAAAUUCCCUAAGCUUCUGCGUUAUUUAUGUAUUUUUUUUUUAUGCAUGGGAUAUACACUUUGGGAUCCUUGUUUCGAAGGAAUAUUUUUUUCAGAACUGUUUCAAGUAUCACAGUACAACACGAGAUUUUGAAUAUAUUUGCCCUUUCAUUUCGAUCGAUCUUAGUAUUUACAAAAGGAAUUGAAUAAAAAUUACCUCCUUCCUGCCUCGUGAUUCAAUUUGCUUUUCACCCCUGUGAAUCAAGGGAACGUUAAUUAAUGUCUCAUAGAUGUAAUUAGCCAUUUGGGCAUUAAUCUAUUAGAACAGCCAAGUUCAGCAAAGAUUUCGCUAAACGUAUGAGAACGACUAAAAAGCCAAUUGCAAACACAUUAACAACUGAAUGAAGGCUAAAAGCAAAUGCAUAAUGCAAUGGUGGAUUCUGCUUUCAGAUCCCUGUGAUCCUUCUAAUUUGCUUCUCUCGUUAAUAAAUGAGCCCAAAUCCAAAUUCCACAUGUGCAAAUUCGGGGGAAGAAUUAAAAUUAAUUCCACUCAAAUUCUACAAAUUACCUGUCCAAAUUCAGGAAUUAUUAGCCCUCCAUAUCCUCGCACAUUGUUGCAUCAGAAUAUAUAAACAGCCAACAACCUAUCACUUGCUUCAAAAUAAACUAUGAGGUUUCUACCAUCUCCUUCGCCAUAUAACAUUUGAUAUAGAGCCAUUUUAAAUUAAAAGAUCCUCGGUACUACAUAUUAAGAAGUCUUAUAGAGAGGCAAAACGGGAAGUUUAAGGAGUUAUAUUUGCCAAGUCAUAGAGCAAACUAUAGUGGUAUUUCGCCACUGUCUGCUAUCACAACUUUGCUCUUAGGUGUGCCACUCUGUCUGCCUUCAGCUUCAAUCUUAUAGACCACAUCCAUUCCAGAAAGCACCUUUCCAAAUACAACAUGUCUGCCAUCCAACCAGUUAGUUGUCACAGUUGUGAUGAAGAAUUGUGAACCAUUUGUGUCAGGACCAGCAUUUGCCAUUGACAAAAGGCCAGGUCCAGUAUGCUUCAGCUUGAAAUUCUCAUCAGCAAACUUCUCUCCAUAAAUUGAUUCUCCACCUCUUCCAUCACCCAGUGUAAAAUCACCUCCUUGGAUCAUAAAGCUGGGAAUGAUCCUGUGAAACACGCUUCCCUUAUAAUGAAGAGGUUUCCCACUCUUCCCAAUACCUUUUUCCCCUGCAAUGAAGAGACGUGCCAGCUUCUAUAAAGUUAUUCACAAUGGCACUUGAAGACAAGAUCAAGGAAUCAUUUCAUGAAGGGGAUAGCCGCAUUCCACUUAUAUAUUGUCUUUGAUUUCUUCAAACAAAUUGUCCCACAUAAAAAUUCACUGUAGCCAUUUUCCUGUUUUCUCAAUUCUUUCUAAGAAUAUUACAACUAAAAGCAUUUUGUCAAGAUAAAAUACACGUAGGAGAAAUACUAUAAUUAGGCUAACAUUUAUCAAUCGGAUUCAUGCAAGAUCAUGGGUAAAAGAUGUUGAGUCUCAGUGUCUAACAGCAUACCUGUGCACAAUGCUCGGAAAUUUUCUGCAGUUUUAGGAACAGCCUUCCCAAACAGACCCAUGACGAUUCGACCUGAAUAAUGAAAGACAUUUUUAGGACGGAUAUUUGAGGACGAAAUAAUGUGAAAACUUAUAUAAAGAGAAAAAGAAACGGCAACACAUUGCUCCUAGAACAAAAUCUAAACACAAAUGAUUGUGAUGACCUCCAAUAUUUCCAAAUGAACAUAGACUUUUAAUCAAAAUAUCAGAUAUAGGAAAUCGUAAAUCUCUUUGUAUUUAUCAUAAGAGAUGCACAACGUCAUCUUUAACAGAGAAUUUUUCUCUGUUUCUGGAAAGCAUAAACAUUGCAGACUAACAAGUACUUCCAUCUCCAAGAAAGAACAAAAUCACACCGCAUUGAUGGGACAACAGUGAUUAGGUAGACAAUUAAAUAAGACAAGCGAAACAUACCAGCAGGUUUUCCAGCAAUCUCAACAUCAAAGUACACUUUAUGGGUUAUCUCUUUCAAAUCUUCCUUGGAUUUCUUCGCCUUCAAAAGGCAACUCAAUAAGAUUAUACGAUUAUCUCAUAAUGACUACUACUAAUAUGCAAUCGGAAAGAUUGCGAAGUAAAUCUAUAUUAUCUAGUUUGAAGAAAGCAAAAUAAUAAUAAUAAUAA